AUACCUGUGUCAUAUCUUUACAGUGCUCUAGUUACUUGUUAAAAAAUAUGGUUCAACCAUGAUGUCACUAACAAGUGACAUCACUACUCCCGGAGAAUUCAGCGUGGCUCCAGUUUCAUGUCUCAAUCCUAACACCGCGCGCAGUGCAAUCGAUGGGAUCAUUGGGAUGAAAUGCGUAUGACGCAUACAGGUUGAGGAUUUCCUUCCCACACGAAAGUCUGACGUCUACCCCUCCACACAUUUAACUUUGACAACACGCGAAACCUUGUAGUAUGGUGGGCACCCGACAGGCUCCUUACACGACUUCGCCUUUGCGCAUGAUACUGCGGUUCCGACGCCACUUCACGCUCCAACUCACCUUGAAACUCGGUGCUCUCAGAUUUUACAUGGAGAGCGACGGAGAGGCGACCAAUACCCGCCCCGACGCCUCCCCCACUGGCCAAUGAAUUUCGAGCGGGGGCGGAGCUAACAGCUAAAUUGUCAUGCUUGGUUUCACGCUGGCAUUGCCAUCAAGCCGCGUCUGGCUGCCGUGCGCUGGUGCAGGUGCUCUAUUUCAUCGAGAGAGGAUGCGAAAGGAAAGAAGGGGAGGGAAAGAAUGAAGGGAACCGUCGGAGAAAAGUAUGCAGGGCAUGAAUAAAAGGGUAUCAGCUGCUGACAGUGUGUCUAACAUCCAGGGGCUCGGCUAAGAAUGAUUUAUUGAAAGGGGCACUUUGAGAUAUGAUGAGGUUUCUUUCUGGUUGGCAAUAGUACUAUGAUUUGGUAUGUGGCCACUUUGAUAGCAAGUGUAUUCAGCACCAGAGGAACAGCUGCUCAAGGUGCCCACGGAGUCAGAGAGGAGCCCCAGUUUGUGACGGCCCGCGCUGGGGAGACCGUGAUUCUGGGAUGUGACGUGGCCCACCCACUCAACGGCCAGCCCUACGUGGUGGAGUGGUUCAAGUUUGGAGUUCCCAUCCCCUUCUUCAUCAACUUCCGCUUCUACCCUCCCCAUGUGGACCCCGAGUAUGCCGGUCGAGCCAGCCUGCAUGGCAAGUCAUCUCUACGUAUUGAGAGGGUUCGCUCGGAAGACCAGGGCUGGUACGAGUGCAAGGUCCUGAUGCUGGAGCAACAGUAUCACACCUUUCACAACGGCAGCUGGGUGCACCUCACUGUCAAUGCUCCCCCAACAUUCACGGACACGCCACCGCAGUAUGUGGAGGCCAAAGAGGGGGGCAGCAUCACUCUGAGCUGUACGGCCUUCGGCAAUCCCAAACCUUCAGUCAGCUGGCUCAGGGAGGGAGAGCCCGUACAGGACAGCAGCAAGUACAAGGUGAGUGAUGGCAGCUUGACACUUGUUUCCAUCAGCCGUGAGGACAGGGGAGCGUACACAUGCCGAGCGUACAGCGAGCAGGGAGAGGCCAUCCAUACCACACGCUUACUCGUCCAAGGACCCCCAUUUAUUGUCUCACCGCCAGAGAACAUAACUGUAAACAUAUCCCAGGAUGCAUUCUUCACUUGUCAGGCUGAGGCAUAUCCUGGCAACCUAACGUACACCUGGUUCUGGGAGGAAGAUAACGUCUUCUUCAAGAAUGAUCUAAAGCGCAGAGUGAGUAUUCUGAUCGACGGUUCGCUCAUCAUCUCCCAGGUGAAACCUGAGGAUGCUGGUAGAUACACCUGCAGCCCGAGUAACAGCCUUGGCCGCCCACCUUCUGCAUCAGCAUACCUGACAGUGCAUUACCCUGCCCGUGUGAUAAACAUGCCGCCCGUUAUUUACGUGGCCAUCGGACUGCCGGGGUACAUCCGCUGCCCGGUGGAUGCCAACCCGCCUGUCACUUCAGUGAAGUGGAAAAAAGAUGGCCUGCCUCUGCGGAUAGAGAAGUACCCUGGCUGGAGCCAAAUGGAAGAUGGGAGCAUUCGAGUGUCUGAGGUGACAGAGGACUCUCUCGGCACCUACACCUGCGUGCCUUACAAUAGCCUCGGUACAAUGGGACAGUCCCCUCCCGCCCCCCUGGUGCUAAAGGACCCACCCAAAUUUCUGGUGGUUCCUGGAGGGGAGUACAGGCAGGAGGCUGGUCGAGAGCUGGUCAUCCCCUGUGAGGCAGAAGGAGACCCAUACCCCAACAUUACAUGGAGAAAGGUAGGGAAGCCCAGCAGAAGCAAGCACAACGUCCUACCAAGAGGCAGCUUACAGUUCAAAUCUCUCAGCAAGGAGGACCACGGGGAGUGGGAGUGUGUCGCCUCCAAUGUCGCCACGAGCAUCACUGCCAGCACGCACCUCCUAGUAAUCGGCACAAGCCCACACGCCCCCGCCAAAGUCCACGUUUCGGUCUCGACGACCUCGGCCAACGUCUCGUGGGAAUCUGGUUACGAUGGCGGCUUUGAGCAGACAUUCUCAGUCUGGUACGGCCAUGUGGUAAAGAGGGAGCAGUUAGGACCGCAUGACUGGCUGUCCAUGCCUGUGCCCAGCGGGCAGCACUGGCUCCUGGUGCAAGGCCUGGAGCCCGAGACGGCCUACCAAUUCAGCGUCCUGGCCCAGAACAAGCUGGGGACGGGCCCGUUCAGCGAGGUCGUCACUGUGAACACUCUAGUAUUUCCUAUAAGUACCCCAGAACCACUGGUGCUGCUUACCCCACCACGGUGCCUCACAGCCAACCGGACACAGCAGGGAGUCCUACUCACAUGGAUCCCUCCAGCCAAUCACACUUCGCCAAUUGAUCACUACAUCAUGGAGUUCCGCCUCGGGGAGAGGUGGGAUGUUCUUGAUGAUGCAAUCCCUGCUGGAGAGACAGAGCUCCUGGCUAGAGACCUGGUUCAGGAGGCCUGGUAUGAGUUCAGAGUGAUGGCAGUUAUGGAGGACCUUGUCAGUGAGCCUAGUAAUGUAGUGGGAGUCUCUAGCACAGACUACUUCCCGCCGCCUGAGGUGCCAGACGAGGGACUGGCGCGGCCGGUGGUGGCAGGCAUUGUGGCCACCAUCUGUUUCCUGGCAGCAGCCAUCCUCUUCAGCACGCUAGCAGCCUGCUUCGUCAACAAACAGAGACGGCGUAAGCUCAAGAGGAGACGAGAUCCCCCUUUGUCUAUAACACACUGCAGAAAGAGCGUGGAGACGCCGAGUCCUCUUACCCCUCUACCUGGCAUAGAACCCUACUGGGAAGGCCAGGAAAGGAGCAGCUACAGGCCUCCGCCCUCCAGUCCUCUGUCAUCUUCUGGAAAGAUUAGUCCAGAAAGCGUCCGCUCCAUAGGACCUCCUUCAGAGUCCUCAGAGGAUGGUUUACGGGCUAAGAAGUUUCCUCAAAGUCCCGCCAAGGAAAAGGAGCUGUCCUUAUACAAGAAGACCAAGAGAGCAAUAAUUAGCAAGAAAUACAGUGUCUCUAAGCAUGAGGCGGAGGCUACCACUCCAAUUGAAUUGAUCAGUCGUGGCCCAGAUGGGCGCUUUGUCAUGGAUCCUACAGAUAUGGAAACUCCAGUUAAGGCACGGCGCAUUGAGGGCUUUCCCUUUGUGGAGGAGUCUGACCUGUACCCUGAAUUUCGACAGUCAGAUGAGGAGAAUGACGAUCCGGGGCCCAUGCCACCUGUGAUGGCUACCCUCAGACCCCAUCAGAUCUCCCCCAUUUCUUCUAGCCAGGAGUCUUACUUGCAGCCCCCAGCCUACAGUCCCCGCUUCCAGAGGCCCAUGGAAGGCAUGACUAUCAUGGAAACCAGUCGACUCCAGGCUACAGGGCAGAUCCGCGGUGCUCCUCACUUCCGAGCCUUUUCCCAUGGCCAGUUCUACAGCUAUUUGGGAAGUCCAGGGGAACCUGAGCCUCCUCCCCCCUUCUACAUGCCGGACACCAGCCCUCUCAGCUCAGUAAUGUCUUCUCCUCCUUACCACCUGGAGGGACCUUUUGGCCAUCCCACCAUCCCGGAGGAAAUCGGUGAGGGAGAGAUUCAGCAUUAUGCAGUCUCUGGCUACACCCUUCCCUUGGCGCAUCCCUCCACCUCGCGCUCUCCAGACAUCUGGCAACGACCCGAUUUCACCUUUGCCACAAUUGAGGGUCCUCACUUUAUUUUUCCACCCCCACACCCUUUGCAUCUUCAUCCGGAACCUCCCCUUCCUCCCCCUCUUGUUCUUCCACCUAGUGCCCUCCAGCCCUCCACCCUUCAAGUAUCUCCUUAUCCUGGUAUCCUGCAGCUGGAGGCUCCAAAGAGCCGCCCCAGCAAGUCUCCCAGCAAGGUCAAGCCUCAGGGCCUUCCAGCCAAGCGUUUACCUAUGCAAGAGGCACAGAGUCUAGGGCAGCUAAGACACACAAGCCACGGUAUGGGUGUACCGGUAUUGCCUUACCCUGACCCAGUGUCUCACAUGGUUGGCCCAAGCUCAUUCGGAAGCCUGGAUACCCGAUGGUACGAGCUUACACCCAGGCUUAGCCCCAGGCAGCCCCGUAGGAUGGAACCCAGCAUGGUUGUUCUCCAACCAUCCCGCCUCUCACCUCUAACUCAGAGCCCUAUUAGCUCUCACGAAGGCUCACCAGAGAUUGUAGUACGCCCCAGGCCCCGUCCAAGUGUCAUCCAACCCCCAAUCCCUCCUGAGAUGUCUGAGAUCACCCUUCAACCUCCUUCUUCAGUUAGCUUCUCUAGGAGGUCCUCCCCUUCCUCCUCACCUGCUCAAGGCCAAGGUAGUCGAAGGGCAAGUCCCAGCUACCGAUCCCACAUGGCAUUUGCCACCUCAGCGGCAAGCUAUCCGUCACAGUCCCCUUCACCUCCUGUUGAAAGCAGCAACAUUUUUGGGCAGAUGCCAACCCAGAGGAGGACUGAGGAGGAGAUCCUUCCAUCAGAACCCUCUCCACCCCAGUUAUCAGCUUCAGGCUAUCUGGGCAGCGUUGUUGUGACCAGGUCCUCUACACCGCAAUAGGUAAGGGUUGGAUCCAUGUCUGAAAGGGGGGGGGCAGCAGGUGGGGCUUUUAUUCACCUCGUCCUUUAAAGGGGAAUACAAGUCUUUGGGUCUUGCUUUCCUUUUGUUUAUUACCAAGUUUCCUGUUUUUUUUUUUUGUUUUGUUUUUUGUUUUGUUUGUUUGUUUGUUUGUUUUAAUUUUCAGAUAGCCACACAUUUAAGUUCUGCAGUCUUGAAGCCUAUAUGCAUUCUGGUCUUAGUAUGCAUAUGUACAUUUCCCAGUUAUUGAUUAGGAAGCCCAGCACAUACCAUUUGGUCAACACAACCUCAUGCUUGAGACACAAUACAAAAAAUAAAAUAUCAACAGCUUGAAUAUCGAUUUUGUGAGAAGCUGCCAUUUAAAAAGUCCUCAUGGUUUGAGAUUCAUGGUAACCUUCAUGGUAUACUUUCUGUCUAUAUAUAUAAAAAAAGUGCUUUAAAAAAUUAUAGUAAAUGACAGUACAAACACUACUUGCAGAGGCCGGGAAUUUUAGUUCGAUCCUGGAUAAAGGUGACCAGUCGUUAGGGACCGUCUCAAGCAAGAGUUGCAUGUUACACUUCAUUUCAGGUAGGUGCUUUUUAUUGCUUGAAACAGAAUUCAAGUGAUUUAAAAUCCAUUAGCCUUUUACAGACACCUUAUAUGAUUAAAUGCAACACUUUUUUUGUAUAAUCAUGAUUGAUCUAUAGUGUAUAUGCAGUGUAUGCAUAAAACUGCACUUGUUUUGUGUAAGUUUGGACUGCAGAACACAUUUCACAAUCAUGUGAAGCAAGUUUUCUUCCAAAACAAUUCCUGCACUUCCUUUACAACGGGGAAAGUUCUAUUGACACUAGAAAAUGCUUCUUUUUAAGUUGUGUCUUUCACCCAAUGAAGUGCUUUUCCGGAGUAUUCCCCUUUAAAGUUCUGUUCCAUGUGCAAAAUGCCAUGCAUGCCAUUGCUAAAUAUUGCUCUUCAGUUGAAAAACCAACAAAUAUCUGAUUAAAUUCUUGUUACAUUUGUUGUCCGAGUGCUUUGUUUUAUUUUUCAUUAUGUGACUGUUCCCAAGUAGCCAUUUUUCCCUCCCGCCAUCUCUCCCCCUGUCAGCAUGGUGAAGCCCAUUGUAGACAGUAUUCAUGUCUAUGAGCACAUUUCUGACAAUGCUUUGUCGCUAAGCUGUGAUUUUCCCCCUCUACUAAUGGCCUUUAAUUUCUCUCGGCAGCCUCAGCAGAAGGACGGCCCCUCUAUAAUGCUAUUUCUGUUAUUUUGUCGUGCCUCGUGAGAGCUGUGUGUGUGCGAACGUGUGUGUGUGUGUGUGUGUGUGUGUGUGUGUGUGGGGCAGAGUAUGCGGGCUGCCGGUUUAAGUGCCUCCAUACUGUAUUUGGAUGGGAAGACUGUACAAACUAAACUGUCUGAGAAUGGAUUUAUAAAGCAUGUAUUUAAGUAUGCUAAUCUACUGGAAUUACCCCAAUCUAUGUCAUGAUUUCUCAAAAUUUCUCUUUAAACAGAUACAUACAUUAUGUUGCCAUAUUGAGAAAACGUCGAGGUGCACCAAGUGGCUCUGCAGGGUCUGAGAGGAUAGAAGCACUGAGAUAUCAACGAGUGAAAAAAGCCAAGAAAGCCGGAAUCAACAAUAACAACUCCAAGACCAGACGAAAGACAGGUG
Megalobrama amblycephala (Wuchang bream) is the source of this 6519-nucleotide RNA transcript. It is a transcript of the gene named immunoglobulin superfamily, member 9Bb, with no coding region annotated. Lineage: Eukaryota; Metazoa; Chordata; Actinopteri; Cypriniformes; Xenocyprididae. The transcript is spliced from 21 exons. The record is from RefSeq and is a predicted model, not a curated record.